RNAcentral lists this ribosomal RNA (375 nucleotides) under uncultured eukaryote. RNAcentral describes it as "partial 18S ribosomal RNA". It matches the Rfam family "Eukaryotic small subunit ribosomal RNA", at positions 592 to 976 of the family's 1831-position model. The record is from RNAcentral.
CAAUAGCGUAUAUUUAAGUUGUUGCAGUUAAAAAGCUCGUAGUUGGAUUUCGGUUAAGAGCGACCGGUCCGCCGUUUGGUGUGCACUGGUCGGUUUUAACUUCCUGUAGAGGACGUGCUCUGGGUUUAACGACCUGGACUCGGAGUCUACGUGGUUACUUUGAAAAAAUUAGAGUGUUCAAAGCGGGCUUACGCUUGAAUAUUUCAGCAUGGAAUAACACUAUAGGACUCCUGUCCUAUUUCGUUGGUCUCGGGACGGGAGUAAUGAUUAAGAGGAACAGUUGGGGGCAUUCGUAUUUCAUUGUCAGAGGUGAAAUUCUUGGAUUUAUGAAAGACGAACUUCUGCGAAAGCAUUUGCCAAGGAUGUUUUCAUUAA